GUAAAGAAACCACGCCAUAUAGAUUGCUUUAUCUGGCAAUUCGAAUACUACAAUUUUUGUAGGUAUAAAUAGGCGUGCAGCAUUUCAGUGCAAGUAUAACAAGUUAUUUUGUGCAAAUCUGUACUUUGUAUAUUUUCCUUCUACAAGUUCUCCAAGAACCAACUCAGAAACCAAAAAUGGGCGCAGAAAAAGUAUCAAUGAACAUCGUUGUCGUCGGACAAGUGCAAUCCGCCAAAGCCAUCAAGACUGUCGCCAAGACCAGCCCAGCUGUCAACCAGGCCAUGAAUUGUUAAUGAAACAAUUCCAUGAUGCCAAACUCAAAAAUGCCAUAGACCACACAAUGCAUAUUACUUAUACCAUAAUAAUAAUAAUAUGUAUUGAUAUGCUCAAAUAAAUUUUCAAAAAUCCGCCGUUAAAA
Long non-coding RNA from Adelges cooleyi (spruce gall adelgid), 418 nucleotides. RefSeq lists it as uncharacterized. The record is from RefSeq and is a predicted model, not a curated record. The transcript has 3 exons. Lineage: Eukaryota; Metazoa; Arthropoda; Insecta; Hemiptera; Adelgidae.